RNAcentral lists this ribosomal RNA (447 nucleotides) under uncultured bacterium. RNAcentral describes it as "SSU rRNA". It matches the Rfam family "Bacterial small subunit ribosomal RNA", at positions 26 to 518 of the family's 1533-position model. The record is from RNAcentral.
AGAGCGAACGCUGGCGGCAGGCCUAACACAUGCAAGUCGAGCGCCCGUAGCAAUACGGGAGCGGCAGACGGGAUAGUAACACGUGGGAACGCGCCCUUCGGUUCGGAAUAACUCAGGGAAACUUGAGCUAAUACCGGAUACGCCCUUACGGGGAAAGAUUUAUUGCCGAAGGAACGGCCCGCGUCCGAUUAGCUAGUUGGUGAGGUAAUGGCUCACCAAGGCGACGAUCGGUAGCUGGUCUGAGAGGAUGACCAGCAUCACUGGGACUGAGACACGGCCCAGACUCCUACGGGAGGCAGCAGUGGGGAAUAUGGACAAUGGGCGCAAGCCUGAUCCAGCCAUGCCGCGUGGAUGAUGAAGGCCUUAGGGUUGUAAAGUCCUUUUUAACGGGGAAGAUAAUGACGGUACCCGUAGAAUAAGCCCGGCUAACUUCGCGCCAGCAGCCGC